GACGUAGGGUGCGAGCGUUUGUCCGGAUUUACUGGGCGUAAAGAGCGCGUAGGCGGCUCGUUAAGUGUGAAGUGAAAUCUCCAGGGCUCAACCCGGAAACUGCUUUACAUACUGGCGAGCUAGAGGAAUGCAGAGGUUAGUGGAAUUCCUGGAUGUAGCGGUGAAAUGCGUUGAUAUCAGGAGGAACACCCAUGGCGAAGGCAGCUAACUGGGCAUUAUCGUGACGCUGAGG
Molecule: ribosomal RNA, 232 nt
Filed under: uncultured bacterium
Lineage: Bacteria
Description: partial 16S ribosomal RNA
Rfam family: Bacterial small subunit ribosomal RNA
Source: RNAcentral